CACGUAGGGACCAAGCGUUGUCCGGAUUCAUUGGGCGUAAAGAGCGCGUAGGCGGUCCGGUAAGUCCGCUCUGAAAGUCCGGGGCUCAACCCCGGGAGGCGGGCGGAUACUGUCGGGCUAGAGUCCGGAAGAGGCGAGUGGAAUUCCUGGUGUAGCGGUGAAAUGCGCAGAUAUCAGGAGGAACACCAAUGGCGAAGGCAGCUCGCUGGGACGGUACUGACGCUGAGGAGCGAAAGCGUGGGGAGCGAACAGG
RNAcentral lists this ribosomal RNA (253 nucleotides) under uncultured bacterium. Its description in RNAcentral is "partial 16S ribosomal RNA". It matches the Rfam family "Bacterial small subunit ribosomal RNA", at positions 524 to 776 of the family's 1533-position model. The record is from RNAcentral.